RNAcentral lists this ribosomal RNA (447 nucleotides) under uncultured bacterium. Its description in RNAcentral is "bacterial SSU rRNA". It matches the Rfam family "Bacterial small subunit ribosomal RNA", at positions 331 to 794 of the family's 1533-position model. The record is from RNAcentral.
CCAGACUCCUACGGGAGGCAGCAGUGGGGGAUAUUGCACAAUGGGGGAAACCCUGAUGCAGCGACGCCGCGUGAGUGAAGAAGUAUUUCGGUAUGUAAAGCUCUAUCAGCAGGGAAGAAAAAAGACGGUACCUGACUAAGAAGCCCCGGCUAACUACGUGCCAGCAGCCGCGGUAAUACGUGGGGGGCAAGCGUUAUCCGGAUUUACUGGGUGUAAAGGGAGCGUAGACGGCUGUGCAAGUCUGGAGUGAAAGGCGGGGGCCCAACCCCCGGACUGCUCUGGAAACUGUAUGGCUGGAGUGCAGGAGAGGUAAGCGGAAUUCCUAGUGUAGCGGUGAAAUGCGUAGAUAUUAGGAGGAACACCAGUGGCGAAGGCGGCUUACUGGACUGUAACUGACGUUGAGGCUCGAAAGCGUGGGGAGCAAACAGGAUUAGAUACCCUCGUAAC